AGCAGCAUGGCGCAGUGGUAGCGCGCGGGGCCCAUAACUCCGAGGUCACUUGAUCGAAACAAGUUGCUGCUA
Molecule: transfer RNA, 72 nt
Filed under: Armillaria borealis
Lineage: Eukaryota; Fungi; Basidiomycota; Agaricomycetes; Agaricales; Physalacriaceae
Rfam family: tRNA
About the family: Transfer RNA (tRNA) molecules are approximately 80 nucleotides in length.
Source: Rfam by way of RNAcentral